This 236-nucleotide ribosomal RNA is filed under the name uncultured bacterium. Its description in RNAcentral is "partial 16S ribosomal RNA". It matches the Rfam family "Bacterial small subunit ribosomal RNA", at positions 95 to 334 of the family's 1533-position model. The record is from RNAcentral.
CGGGCGGACGGGUGAGUAAUGUCUGGGAAACUGCCCGAUGGAGGGGGAUAACUACUGGAAACGGUAGCUAAUACCGCAUAACGUCGCAAGACCAAAGAGGGGGACCUUAGGGCCUCUUGCCAUCGGAUGUGCCCAGAUGGGAUUAGCUAGUAGGUGGGGUAACGGCUCACCUAGGCGACGAUCCCUAGCUGGUCUGAGAGGAUGACCAGCCACACUGGAACUGAGACACGGUCCAG